GACGAGGGGUCCAAGCGUUGUUCGGAAUCAUUGGGCGUAAAGCGGGUGUAGGCGGCUCUAUAAGUCAGAAGUGAAAGCCCCGAGCUUAACUUGGGAAGUGCUUUUGAUACUGCAGGGCUUGAAUGUGGGAGAGGGUAGUGGAAUUCCAGGUGUAGUGGUGAAAUACGUAGAUAUCUGGAGGAACACCGGUGGCGAAGGCGGCUACCUGGCCCAACAUUGACGCUGAGACCCGGAAGCGUGGGGAUCAAACAGG
RNAcentral lists this ribosomal RNA (253 nucleotides) under uncultured bacterium. Its description in RNAcentral is "partial 16S ribosomal RNA". It matches the Rfam family "Bacterial small subunit ribosomal RNA", at positions 524 to 776 of the family's 1533-position model. The record is from RNAcentral.